Long non-coding RNA from Catharus ustulatus (Swainson's thrush), 855 nucleotides. RefSeq lists it as uncharacterized. Lineage: Eukaryota; Metazoa; Chordata; Aves; Passeriformes; Turdidae. The transcript has 3 exons. The record is from RefSeq and is a predicted model, not a curated record.
ACACAGGCACAAUUCACAGACUGUCUCCUGCAGCAAGCACCGAGAAUCCCAAGCAGUCAUUCUGGUCUCCUCUCUCAAGCAUUUACUGAAAUGACGCAUACUUUUAAUGAGAAAAAGAACAAUUUUCACUACCAAGAGGUAUUCUUGGCAAGAUGCUGAAGCCCCCAACAGGAUGCCAGUACUUCAGCAAGAUGAUCCAGAGAGGGUGUGAGACAGAUAGAGAGGAGGAGUUUUUUCAUGUGAGAACAAUCUACCACACAGAAAAAAAACCCUAAUGGAACAUGGCUGCUUCAUUAAAUAAAUACCUCCACAUUGUCUUUCCUAUAUGAAAUCCAUUAAAAGGCUUUCAGAAGAUACCUAGAUGAUCCAACAGAGAAUUUCAUGACCACAGAGGGGCCAGAGCAGGUCCAGAUGUACUACAAAGACUGUUGUACAUUGAAGCCAUCAACUACUCUCACAAGGGGCUACCUUAGAAGACUGCCCAGGUUAUUGAGGAUUUACCCUGCCAUGCUACAAGACGGAGAUUUUAACCCCUGAGAAAACUGAGCUGACAACUACAAUGCUGUGGUUCUUGCACCCUCAAUACUUCAUCCAACAGCAGCAAUCUGCAGAGAAAUCCACUUUUCAGGAUCUGCUUCUGCUUCUCUCCUGUGGCAUCCACAUUCUUAAAGUUUCUAAAGAAAUGGCAUGACACAAACCCACUGUGAGGCCAAUGGGCAAUUUUGUCCGUAAGGUGAGGCAGGAGAAGAGAAUUUCAUGAGAAUGUACAAGAUCUACUUGACUUACACAUCUCUCUGUUAUUCUCUUGCAAAGACAAGACAAUUCUCUGAGGAAAAUAAAAAUUUAGAAAAAAUU